Molecule: ribosomal RNA, 253 nt
Filed under: uncultured bacterium
Lineage: Bacteria
Description: partial 16S ribosomal RNA
Rfam family: Bacterial small subunit ribosomal RNA
Source: RNAcentral
UACGUAGGGGGCGAGCGUUGUCCGGAAUUAUUGGGCGUAAAGAGCUCGUAGGUGGUUUGUCGCGUUGUCCGUGAAAACUCACAACUCAAUUGUGGGCGUGCGGGCGAUACGGGCAGACUGGAGUACUGCAGGGGAGACUGGAAUUCCUGGUGUAGCGGUGGAAUGCGCAGAUAUCAGGAGGAACACCGGUGGCGAAGGCGGGUCUCUGGGCCGAUACUGACGCUGAGGAGCGAAAGCGUGGGGAGCGAACAGG